Molecule: ribosomal RNA, 2679 nt
Filed under: Triticum aestivum (bread wheat)
Lineage: Eukaryota; Viridiplantae; Streptophyta; Magnoliopsida; Poales; Poaceae
Description: partial small subunit ribosomal RNA
Source: RNAcentral
AUGGCCUCCACCGGCGGAGACGGAGGCCGCCACUGGCUCGACGACGAGGCGCCCGACCUCCGCUCCCGCAUCCGCCAAACCCUAACGAGCAAAUUGGCCCGAUAUUAUCAGCCUAGGUAUGCCCCUGAUUCCCAGGAGGCCCAGAGAUUUGUUGCCAACUUCGAGGAGGUGGCAUUCAGGGGGACCAACAGUAAGGAAGACUACAUGAGAAACAUAUCAAGCAAGUUGCUCAUUAUGGAGAAAAAAACAAGUGGACUUCUAGAACGACGAAUGCAGUCACGUAGUCAAUCGCGACUUGCUAAUACAGCUCAGGCUUUACAGGGAGGCAAUCCUUCUGUAAGGCCAGAGGCAGGGAUGAUGGCUACUCCAGGGCCAACUUCUCAGCCUAUGACGCCUCAAACUUCAGGCCUAGUGCCCAACCAGCACAUGGUUUACCCUCGCAACACAAACUUGCAGACUGAGGUUGAGCAAAAGCACCCUGGCGUCAUGACAAUUCUGGAUCAGCGUCCAAAGUUUCAACCCAAAGGGAUCACUACAGUAGGGCCAGGUGUCAGUCUGUGGCAGAUGCAAUCAGGAGCCAAUCAGAGUCAGAGCCAACAUGCGUCCAGGCAAGCACAGACUACAAACUUUGUAGGUUGCAGCCCACCCAGUGUGUCAAAGACAGCUGGGGGACCAAAUUCUCUGCAAAAUCACCUACUUGGCCAAAAUGGUAGUUCCGUUGGAAAGCAGCAGCCACAGCUGACAAGGAUGAAUCAGCAAAGUUCAAGAGCCGACCAACAAGAGACGGACAUGCAAAAGUACCAAAUGCUUGGAGCACAACAAACUAAUAUCUCCAAGAUGCAGCCCAGUCAGCUUGGAGGAUGUAAUAAUCAGAAGGAUACUAGGCAGACAAAUCUGUUACGGUCACCGGUCGAGGCAUCUGAAUAUGAGCCUAUGGCUCCACCUCUACAACAGAUUGCCGGUGCUCAACAAAGCACUUUGCUUUGUCAGAGCUCCCAGAAUACUGUAUUUGUUAUUUCAGCUAUGAUGGGCAGUGCUAGAGAAUACGAUCUAAUUGAGGGGAUGUUUUCGCAGAUCAAGUCUUGGAAGGAUGCUUAUUUUUCGCAGUUUGUGGAACUGGAACGUCGAGUUGUUAUUCCAACACUAACAGAGGAACAAUUCUUGUCACUACCUGCAGCAAAAGCUAAUGAAUACAAACGUAAAGCAUAUGCCAAGAGAUCAAUCAGAAAGAUACUGAAUUUCUUGCUGUUGGAGAAAAGUGAUGUAAAUGAGGGUUUGAAGUUGGACUUCCCCAAGUACAAAGAAGACGUACAGAAAUUGGUGGCUUAUAUUGAGCGGGGUAAAGCUCACAAUGCAGAGAUGAAUACAGGACAUCAGUUGCGGAACUGUCGUGAGCAGCCUCAAGUAAUUAAUCUUACUGGCAAUGCAUCCUCAAUCAGUGGUGGUAAAAGACAGCAAAAGCAACCUGCAGACACAAGCAUUUUGCAGUCAAGGCAAACAAAUAUGGCUAGAACACCACCACCUCAUGAACAGAGCAAUGGCAACCACUUGCUAGGAAUAGCAAGUCCUUUCUCUUCACCAGGAUCAUUGCCGUCUUGUUCUUCCAGUCUGCUUGAGUCCUUGACCCCCUCACCAGUUGCAAAUCCAGUGAUAGCACCAGCAUCACGUUGUGAUCCGCUGAUCCCAAUGGACGUUGACAGCAUAUCUGCCUUCUUGUUGCACGGCAAUUCAGCAGCACCAGCACCAAAAGCAAACGGUUCUAACCAAGUCACUCCUACUAAACCGACAUUACCAGCCUCACCACGUCAGGCAGACAUAGCAGCUGGUCAAGCAGAGGUUCAGGCGGGAGGUGGAGACAGAACACCAGUGACUGAAAAGCCCAUCGACCGCCUAAUGGCUGCGAUACGAUCUUCAUCACCGGCAGCUCUACGCAGCUCAGCUAAUUCAAUUUGGUCUGUCCUCAGCAUCAGCGACACUGUACCACAUGGGCAAAUUGGCACAAUUUUGGAUGACACAUCCUCUCAGCAGCAGUGGGGUGGACCUAAUACUGCGAGAAGAAUGAAGCGAGUUUUCAAUCAUACAGCAGCACACUCUGAAUCGCUACCUCUGGGAAGCAUGGAUGGCAGUUGCAUGACAUUUGAGUGUGACGCCUCAGACUCUGGAUCCAGCAGCGAGCAGAACAUUAAGCGGGCGAAAACACAGAAUGCUAAUGAUGCUCUGUUGAAAGAAAUCAAAUCUAUUAAUGACACACUGAUUGACACAGUGGUCAGCAUAUCUAUGGAUGGGAUCGCCCCUUACGAUGGCGGGACAACAAUCAAACUGUCUUACAGCGCCGUGUCGCUUUCACCGACCGUGAAAUCACUCAUUGCAACAUCUGGAAUGUCCCUUGUUUUGCCCGUGAAGUUAUUCGUCCCAGCAGAUUAUCCGAGCAGCUCUCCGGUGCCUAUCAGUGACGGAGGAGAUGAGGUGCCAAGGAGGAAUUCCAGCGCCAUUUCAGCCUCGGUAGACGUGGCAUUCCGGCACGCCCUCCGUGGUCUCUUGGAACCCUGGUCGAUUGAGGCGGUGGCCAGGGCAUGGGAUGCCUGUGUGCGAAAGGCCGUGACACAGUUUGCACACCGGCUCGGCGGGGGGACGGUCAACUCGAUAUUUGGCGGGUGGGAGAGAUGCGCUGCCGCAUGA